GCGAACGCUGGCGGCAGGCCUAACACAUGCAAGUCGAACGAACCUUCGGGUUAGUGGCGGACGGGUGAGUAACACGUGGGAACGUGCCUUUUGGUUCGGAACAACUCAGGGAAACUUGAGCUAAUACCGAAUGUGCCCUUCGGGGGAAAGAUUUAUCGCCAUUAGAGCGGCCCGCGUCUGAUUAGCUUGUUGGUGAGGUAAAGGCUCACCAAGGCUACGAUCAGUAGCUGGUCUGAGAGGAUGAUCAGCCACAUUGGGACUGAGACACGGCCCAAACUCCUACGGGAGGCAGCAGUGGGGAAUCUUGCGCAAUGGGCGAAAGCCUGACGCAGCGACGCCGCGUGGGUGAAGAAGGCCUUAGGGUUGUAAAGCCCUUUCAGUGGGAAAGAUUGUGACGGUACCCACAGAAGAAGCUCCGGCUAACUCCGU
This 429-nucleotide ribosomal RNA is filed under the name uncultured bacterium. RNAcentral describes it as "bacterial SSU rRNA". It matches the Rfam family "Bacterial small subunit ribosomal RNA", at positions 29 to 506 of the family's 1533-position model. The record is from RNAcentral.